This 471-nucleotide ribosomal RNA is filed under the name uncultured bacterium. Its description in RNAcentral is "partial 16S ribosomal RNA". It matches the Rfam family "Bacterial small subunit ribosomal RNA", at positions 28 to 507 of the family's 1533-position model. The record is from RNAcentral.
GACGAACGCUGGCGGCGUGCUUAACACAUGCAAGUCGAACGAUGAAGCCUAGCUUGCUAGGUGGAUUAGUGGCGAACGGGUGAGUAAUACGUGAGUAACCUACCUUUAACUCUGGGAUAAGCCUGGGAAACUGGGUCUAAUACCGGAUACGACCAAUCUCCGCAUGGGGUGUUGGUGGAAAGCGUUAUGUAGUGGUUAUAGAUGGGCUCACGGCCUAUCAGCUUGUUGGUGAGGUAACGGCUCACCAAGGCGACGACGGGUAGCCGGCCUGAGAGGGUGACCGGCCACACUGGGACUGAGACACGGCCCAGACUCCUACGGGAGGCAGCAGUGGGGAAUAUUGCACAAUGGGCGCAAGCCUGAUGCAGCGACGCCGCGUGAGGGAUGACGGCCUUCGGGUUGUAAACCUCUGUUGGCAGGGAAGAAGAGAGAUUGACGGUACCUGCUGAGAAAGCGCCGGCUAACUACGUG